Molecule: ribosomal RNA, 430 nt
Filed under: uncultured bacterium
Lineage: Bacteria
Description: partial 16S ribosomal RNA
Rfam family: Bacterial small subunit ribosomal RNA
Source: RNAcentral
AACGAACGCUGGCGGCAGGCUUAACACAUGCAAGUCGAACGCCCCGCAAGGGGAGUGGCCGCCGGGUGAGUAACGCGUGGGAAUCUACCCAUCCCUACGGAAUAACGCAUGGAAACGUGUGCUAAUACCGUAUACGCCCUACGGGGGAAGAUUUAUCGGGGAUGGAUGAGCCCGCGUUGGAUUAGCUAGUUGGUGGGGUAAAGGCCUACCAAGGCGACGAUCCAUAGCUGGUCUGAGAGGAUGAUCAGCCACAUUGGGACUGAGACACGGCCCAAACUCCUACGGGAGGCAGCAGUGGGGAAUAUUGGACAAUGGGCGCAAGCCUGAUCCAGCCAUGCCGCGUGAGUGAUGAAGGCCUUAGGGUUGUAAAGCUCUUUCACCGGAGAAGAUAAUGACGGUAUCCGGAGAAGAAGCCCCGGCUAACUUCGUG